This 386-nucleotide ribosomal RNA is filed under the name uncultured bacterium. RNAcentral's name for it is "bacterial SSU rRNA". It matches the Rfam family "Bacterial small subunit ribosomal RNA", at positions 29 to 416 of the family's 1533-position model. The record is from RNAcentral.
AUUGAACGCUGGCGGAAUGCUUUACACAUGCAAGUCGAGCGGCAGCGCGGGGCAACCUGGCGGCGAGCGGCGAACGGGUGAGUAACACAUCGGAACGUGCCCAGACGUGGGGGAUAGCCCGGCGAAAGCCGGAUUAAUACCGCAUACGAUCUAAGGAUGAAAGCGGGGGACUCGCAAGGGCCUCGCGCGUUUGGAGCGGCCGAUGGCAGAUUAGGUAGUUGGUGGGGUAAAGGCUUACCAAGCCUGCGAUCUGUAGCUGGUCUGAGAGGAUGAUCAGCCACACUGGGACUGAGACACGGCCCAGACUCCUACGGGAGGCAGCAGUGGGGAAUUUUGGACAAUGGGCGCAAGCCUGAUCCAGCCAUUCCGCGUGCAGGACGAAGGCC